UACGUAGGGGGCAAGCGUUGUCCGGAAUCAUUGGGCGUAAAGAGCGUGUAGGCGGCCAUACAGGUCAGCUGUGAAAACUCGAGGCUCAACCUCGAGACGUCGGUUGAAACCGUAUGGCUAGAGUCCGGAAGAGGAGAGUGGAAUUCCCGGUGUAGCGGUGAAAUGCGCAGAUAUCGGGAAGAACACCUAUGGCGAAGGCAGCUCUCUGGGACGGUACUGACGCUGAGACGCGAAAGCGUGGGGAGCAAACAGG
RNAcentral lists this ribosomal RNA (253 nucleotides) under uncultured bacterium. Its description in RNAcentral is "partial 16S ribosomal RNA". It matches the Rfam family "Bacterial small subunit ribosomal RNA", at positions 524 to 776 of the family's 1533-position model. The record is from RNAcentral.